GACGUAGGUGGCGAACGUUAUCCGGAAUUAUUGGGCGUAAAGGGUGCGUAGGUGGCCUGACAAGUUAUCAGUGGCAAAUCGAGGCUCAACCUCGUGGAAACUGGUAAUACUGUCCGGCUUGAGUGCAGGAGAGGUUAACGGAACUCUAUGUGGAGGGGUAAAAUCCAUAGAUAUAUAGAUGAACAUCAAUAAAGGCGAAGGCAGUUAACUAAUUCUGUUACUGACACUGAGGCACGAAAGCGUGGGGAGCAAAACGG
This 257-nucleotide ribosomal RNA is filed under the name uncultured bacterium. RNAcentral's name for it is "partial 16S ribosomal RNA". It matches the Rfam family "Bacterial small subunit ribosomal RNA", at positions 524 to 776 of the family's 1533-position model. The record is from RNAcentral.